This is a long non-coding RNA of Triticum dicoccoides, 3183 nucleotides long. RefSeq lists it as uncharacterized. The transcript is spliced from 13 exons. Lineage: Eukaryota; Viridiplantae; Streptophyta; Magnoliopsida; Poales; Poaceae. The record is from RefSeq and is a predicted model, not a curated record.
CUCGCAUCAGAUCCCUUCCAGGCCACCACGCCACACCACCAGAUCCCAUCGCCGCCGCCUCGCACUCGCAUCCCAUCGCCGCCGCCCGUGCGUUCUCGAUCGGAGAGGACGCUCCCUUCGCCGCCGCUGAGAUCCGAGAAGAGUCGCCCUUCGCCGGCGCCAAGAUCCUGUGCCUCUCUAAAGACCCCUCUCUCUCGCGACACCGCCUCCCUUACAAGGACGCCACGCCAUGGGUCUCCAUCGGUGCCACGACUGCCACGGCCUCCCCACCUGCCGACGCUCUAGAUCCGGCCGUAGUUGAUUCCAUGUACAUCAUCUCAAGGAGGAGGGGCGUGAGGCGGUUGCCGCCGCCGGUGGCUGCACUUGAAGGUCUCCGCCGCUUGCUCCAACCAGAUCCAGCCAGACCGUCCUGUGGUGGUCCACGUGCAUCUGGACGGACGCAACGGCUUUGCCUCCCCUGUCCCAUGUCUUCGUCCACCACACCAUCCCAUUGCGCUGCUGCUACCCGGGCUCACAUGACCCCGUGGAGGAAGGAGCUGCGCAAGGAAUCACUGUCAAAAGACUCGAGAUGAGUUUGGAGUAUCAUGGAUUCCAGGCCAUGUUCCGCAAGGACGAAGCAACGCGAGCUAGCCGAGGGUUCAGAUUGACGUUCGCUUUGAUUCUCGUUGAUUCAUUGUUUUGACCGACCCAAGCAGCGCCGGCGCUCACGGAGGAGAACCUGAUGUUCCUAGAGGCCUGACGCGCGGUCGAUCACACUUACUACGACAAGUCCUCCAACGGGUGGAGCUGGUUCAGGUACCACAAGCACCCUCCAUGAAAAGCAGGUUCCAGCUGUGCAAAGUCUACCUGCUACUGCUAUCCAUACUGCGCCAUAACAAAAUAGCUUUGGAUCAGGACUAACCUCUAGCCAGGAAAGAACCUGAAUCCCAAGUCGACGGCCCAUGCGGUGCCCACGUCCGCGUCAUUAGUGCUGCUAAGGGGCGCUUCACCCUGUUCGGCAUUAUCUUCUAUUCUUCCUACGGCUGCAAGAACCCUCACCUUGGCUAUGGCAGAUGCGACAGAUAAAGCAGGAGAUGGAUGAAAUGCUGCUGAGACGUUACAGGAUAUUCCAGCAGAGGCAUCCUUACCGUCCGCAUUACAAGGAUAUGAGAACAUUGGGGUCCUGAAGGCAGUGACCUGUUUACCAUACACAUAUUUACUUCCUUUCUAGGGCGGAACAAUGGAAGGCACAAUUCCAAAUUUUCAAGUACAGCUCUUCAAGAACAGGAUCUCUGAAGGAACAACAAUUUACAAGCUUGGCGCUUACCAGGUUCAGUAUGCUAAGGAAAGAUACAAAACUGUAGAUCGUCCAUGGAGAGUAGUGUUUGCCCAAAAAACUACCGUGGAACCAAUUGUGCCUCAGCCACCAAACUUUCCCAAGUAUGGAUAUACCACCUACAAUGUACACAGUACCAAAGCUGCAUUAAACAAAUCGUUUUGUUGUCAGUUACCAGCAUCACAAGAAUAUUUGCGCCGAGCGGCGGAUCGAUUGACCAGAUAUGAGAAAAUCACAUCACAAAUAAUUCCCGCCGUUGUGAUGUUUUGGGGAAAAUUAGCAGAUGCCCUUGAUGCAGACAAGCUACAACGGUGGUCUGCUCAAGAACCCAUUAUAGUUCUAUUUGUUGGCAUGCCAGUACAUGAAUUUAAUGUAAGAAACUUGACCUUCAAGUCCUGUCUGGCAACUCGAUGGUACAUAAAUCCAACUAUUUCUGAAGCGGCAGCUAUUCUAGGAAGAUCUACUGCAAGAUCCCAUCAAAUUGAGAUAAGCACCGGCUCACAGGGUCAUCGCUAGGCAACAAAUACAACAAACACAUAAUUAUCAGCCGUUGACCCUGGUGGAAUCAUGGACCAGUACUAUAAACUGGAAAUAAAGAGAACUGAAGUGUCCCCUUCCAUGGCGUUGGGGGGCCUUUCUCUGCCAGGCGCGGUGGCUCCUUGGUAGGUCGAUGCAGCUUGCUCGGCGGAGGCUAGGAGGCUCGUCGGCCGACAUUUCGUUGAUGCAUGGGUGCCAUAUUGCGAUGGAACGGCAGUAUAAUAUACAAAACUUUGACGAGGCUCACCUGCUUCAAAAUUUCACAAUAAGUCCAAUCAAGACAACUUGCAACUUUGGUGUUGUCACAUUGGAGUCCGUGCUGAGCAGCAAUGGGAGACUGUCGUUGAUGCCCGACCCAUGAUGCCGACGAAGGAACGAGAGUCGAUGAGGAGUAGACGCCAUGGGUUUGUGAACUGGCCAAGCCACCGUUGUCCGUUUGGUAAUGUGACUUGCCCUGAUUUUGACGUCGGUCUACCAACAUCCGACGAAGGGAACCCGUCCCGGUUUCCAUCUUGAUGGUAAGUUCUCUAAUCUUCUAUCUCAUGGGAUGUGAUGUGGUUGCCUUCAUUUUGGCUUUUGACAAAGGGUUGAAAUUAGCUUAUGUGCUUCCGACGAUUGAAAUUCCAGUUAUAUUAUCAACCUUCAGCGAGCAGUGACAACGAACUCCAUCCCCCCACCACACCACACCCAUGUUUCAUUUGAUGUGCUUUAAGCCAUGUUUCAGCUUGUCUCGACACAGCAUGUAUUUUUUGUUUCAGUUGUUGAGCUCCGCACUACAAAACUGAGAAAGACCCAUAACUUUUUACAGGAUCGUUUCUACAUACUACAAAUAGAGGGAAGUUGGCUUGUGCCUUACUAGAGACAGAUGAACCAAUAAAAUGAUUGGAAAGGCUCUUUCCAAGCAUAAGAGGAGCUUUUGAAGGGACUGAAGAACCGGAACCUCCCCUCCUCCCUCCCGCGACGCUCCCGCAGGCGUCCGGGGGGCAACCCUAGCACCGCCGCCGGUCCCCCCUCCUCUCCCUCCGCCCUCGCGGCCGCCCGGGGGCGCGAGCGGACGAAGCCCGCUCAUCGCUGGCGGCGGCGGGGCCUUCUCGUCUCCGCGCGUGGGGGUUUCUGUGAGGGUCGGACGCCUCUGGCCGGAUGUGGCGCUUGGCGCUGGCCGUGGCAGCUCGGCAGCGCGCCGAUGUGGGCUGUCGGCGGCGCAUGCCAGCGAUGCGAUGGGCAGUGCGGUGGUGGUGCAGGCUGGAGGCUGGUGGUGGCGGCGGCGCGCCCAGAUCCGCCUCUGGCGCCGCGAGUUGCGGGCGACCUGGGUCGCGGUCGGCCUUCCCUAC